Molecule: ribosomal RNA, 194 nt
Filed under: uncultured eukaryote
Lineage: Eukaryota
Description: partial 18S ribosomal RNA
Rfam family: Eukaryotic small subunit ribosomal RNA
Source: RNAcentral
GCAACCUGGUUGAUCCUGCCAGUAGUCAUAUGCUUGUCUCAAAGAUUAAGCCAUGCAUGUCUAAGUGUAAAUAAGUCUAUACUGUGAAACUGCGAAUGGCUCAUUAAAUCAGUUAUCGUUUAUUUGAUGAUCUCUUACUACUUGGAUAACCGUAGUAAUUCUAGAGCUAAUACAUGCACAAAAUCCCGACUUAC